Molecule: transfer RNA, 73 nt
Filed under: Lodderomyces elongisporus NRRL YB-4239
Lineage: Eukaryota; Fungi; Ascomycota; Pichiomycetes; Serinales; Debaryomycetaceae
Description: tRNA-Arg (CCT) (tRNA-Arg-CCT-1-1)
Rfam family: tRNA
About the family: Transfer RNA (tRNA) molecules are approximately 80 nucleotides in length.
Source: RNAcentral
GCCCUGCUGGCUCAAAGGUUACAGCAUCGCCCUCCUAAGGCGAAGACUCCGGGUUCGAGUCCCGGGCAGGGUU